RNAcentral lists this ribosomal RNA (507 nucleotides) under uncultured bacterium. Its description in RNAcentral is "partial 16S ribosomal RNA". It matches the Rfam family "Bacterial small subunit ribosomal RNA", at positions 28 to 507 of the family's 1533-position model. The record is from RNAcentral.
GACGAACGCUGGCGGCGUGCCUAAUACAUGCAAGUCGAACGCAUUUUCUUUCACCGUAGCUUGCUACACCGACAGAAAAUGAGUGGCGAACGGGUGAGUAACACGUGGGUAACCUGCCCAUCAGCGGGGGAUAACACUUGGAAACAGGUGCUAAUACCGCAUAAUUCCAUUUACUGCAUGGUAGAUGGAUGAAAGGCGCUUUUGCGUCACUGAUGGAUGGACCCGCGGUGCAUUAGCUAGUUGGUGGGGUAACGGCCUACCAAGGCUGCGAUGCAUAGCCGACCGGAGAGGGUGAUCGGCCACCCUGGGACUGAGACACGGCCCAGACUCCUACGGGAGGCAGCAGUAGGGAUUCUUCGGCAAGGGACGCAAGUCUGACCGAGCAACGCCGCGUGAGUGAAGAAGGUUUUCGGAUCGUGAAUCUCUGUUGUUAGAAAAGAACAAGGAUGAGAGUGGAAAGUUCAUCCCUUGACGGUAACUAGUCAGAAAGCCACGGCUAACUACGUG